RNAcentral lists this ribosomal RNA (198 nucleotides) under Triticum aestivum (bread wheat). Its description in RNAcentral is "partial small subunit ribosomal RNA". Lineage: Eukaryota; Viridiplantae; Streptophyta; Magnoliopsida; Poales; Poaceae. The record is from RNAcentral.
AUGAUGGCGGCGGGACCUCGGUUGUCCUGCCUGUGCGUGGGGAACCCCGGAUCUGGAGCGGCGGCUUCAUUGGCAAGGCAUGGCCGGCUAGCAGCCGUGCGGGCGGUGGAUCUGGCGUCCCGGCCGCGCGGGCGGCGGGAUCCGGUGAUCGUUGGCGGCCGGCGGCGGUUUCUACGGUGGCCGGUGCGCGCGAUCUAG